GUGAAUCAUCAAAUUUUUGAACGCAAAUUGCACUCUCUGCGAAUACUAUGCGUGUUUGAGGGUCAGCCUAAUAAAAAUGGACAUAGUAGCUGUUUCGCGGUGACAUUGGUAGGAAAUUGGGUCAUCUUAUACCUUUGGGUUGUAAGCGGCGUAAAAUUUUCUUUACGAUUCCACGAAAGUUUUUAAGAUUUACUUCUUAUACGUUUAAGGUAUCGAUCUUUAUUAGACGUGUCCGUUUCAUCGGAUUUC
This 249-nucleotide unclassified non-coding RNA is filed under the name Glomus sp. Its description in RNAcentral is "partial internal transcribed spacer 2". Lineage: Eukaryota; Fungi; Glomeromycota; Glomeromycetes; Glomerales; Glomeraceae. The record is from RNAcentral.